This 4651-nucleotide long non-coding RNA is filed under the name Gadus morhua (Atlantic cod). RNAcentral describes it as "lncRNA (ENSGMOG00000030439.1)". The record is from RNAcentral. Lineage: Eukaryota; Metazoa; Chordata; Actinopteri; Gadiformes; Gadidae.
CUCGUUUUCUAGAGACGGGGAGCGGACACAGACAGGCGCCAGUCUGUGUGGACAGAGGAGGACGAUCUUGUCCAUUGUGCCCGCUGCAAGAGACACACAGCCAUAGCACACAGAUCACGCAUGAAUUUAUCGAGGGUCCUGACCCAUGUGGAUGAUGAGAGUGAUGUCAGCUGCAGAAACAUCACAGAGACGGCCAGCAUUCACUUGUGAUGUGUAGCUCGGACGCACUCGUCGUAGGAGGGAUGAUUUCGAACUGACCAAAAGCAGAAUAAUGAACUGAAUUACAAAGGGACGCCCUGGUCGGCAGAAGUUGGACGGAAACCACGUUGGAGGUCUGGUGUCCAGCAAGCCAGCAAUGCAGCAGCAGGGCACUGAUGUCUGCCCAUCACAGACGUCUGGCUGCGAGGCCGCCCCCUGCUCCCCAGUGCAAAGGAAGCAGAAUUCAGGCAACGCGGUGAAUGUUUCUCAGGCCUCGCUGAGGGAGAAAGCACCAGUUCAGGAUGCAGGGGACAUGAGUCCAAGCCAAAAAGAGAGAUGGUUUCAAACGAUGAAACUCAACCAAGUUUUGCCACAGUUUACCGCGUCAGGUCACAUUGCAGAUGGAACCAGUGCAUUUGAUAAUGAUUCAGUGAAAUGCCAAUCUUCAGGAGGCCCUCUAGGUGGCUCUAUUACCUCACCUCAAUCCAGAUCCAGUGAAACUACCUUGGACAUCAGUGCCCCCUCAGUGCCUCCAAAUAGAGUAACAUUGCACCCAUCAGGGACGACGGAAGCGUGCCAGCUACAAUCCAAAAUGUCCACAAAAGGCAGCUCCUCCACAGCUACACCCCAUCCGGGUGUUCCCAGGCCGGCUGUACCGUCACCUAAAGCACAACAAAAGCCACAAGUAGGAUGCAAUCAGCCGAAACCUUUAAACGUUGAGGUCACCGCAGGCCUCAAAACCGCGUCGUCCACCCACCUCGCCUCCCUCAAGGCUGGGAGGAGUGGAGCGGCGAACGACGCGAGUCAGGUCGGACUCAAAACGAGUGCCUUGGUAACCGGCGGGAGCGACGACAGUGUUGAUAAGACACGAGUGACCCCGGUGUCAGAGGAGGAAAGAGUAGCCAAGCGUAGGGAGCAGUGGCGGAUAAAAAAGAGGGAACAGAGAGCGAAGCUGGCAGCUAGGUCGACGAAAAGCAGAGAGCGAACACAAUUCACAGGAACAACGCUCCCGAGGCCGGUAACGCAGAAGGCAGGGGUAUCGCACGGUGGAGGUCUCAAACAUCCCCCUCCCCUAUCUUCUGUACAAAGUAUGUGCCCAAAACAAAGCGUGAGUAGCCCCAGGCCUCGAGAGGCACCUGCCAAUCGCUUACUGCAGAACGCUCGAGUGACGCUUGAUUCAUCUUCUGUGCCUCGACUUGUCAAGAAAGAGGAGAAAACGGACGAGGAGUCGGGGCCAGCCAGGUUGAACCCAGUUGGACCUAGUCCGAAUCAGAACACGUUAUUAAUUAAAGUAGAAAACCCGCAGGUCUCUAGGAAAGCACAGCCCGCUUUCACGCCUAACGUCAAGGUGGAACGAAGGAUAGAUUACCCCAGGAAGUUUUCGAACCACGCGUAUUUUUCCAACGUCAACCGGGCGAUCGCCAGAUGCCGAACGCCGCGGCAGAGACUCGUCGAAACGCAGAAGUGUUUCUCCAAUCAACGGAACUUAAGAGUCAAGUUCCCGUCCCUCGCCGCCAUCUACAAUUCGCGGAACGUCCCCAAAAUCCUCCCUAACGAGUCUCCCGAGCAGACGGCCUCCAGACGGAGGGAGUACUGGCGCAUCAAGAAGCGGGAGCAGCGCGCCAAGCAGUCCCUGGAGGUGAAGGCCCAGCUGAAGGAGAAGGACUCCCUGAUGAGGAGAGUCAAACGUUACCAGAAGAUCCUGGAGGAGAUGAGGAGGGCCCGAGCGCAGACCGUCGCCCUGGGGGGCCGGUCGACGGGCGGGAUGCUCACCCACGCCUCGGAGACCAUCGGCGGGUUCAUCAAAGAGGACGGGACGGUGACCGUCAGCCUUCCCCCGGUGCCGACGGACACGGCGGCGGCGGCGGGGCACGAGGCGGAACAGACCUCUUGUCUGCUCUCCGACGAUGGCGUCGUCGCGCACUCGCCGCAUCCGUCUCACGCCGGGCCUCUGGGCCACGGCAGGGACGCCGCGCUCGGGUACUCGGGACGGCUCGGCCACCGCCCGCCCCCGCCGCUGCGUCCGGCUCAGGUCCGAGUCACGCUGCCGCGGGACGGCCAGUCCGCCAACAAGCCUCCGCGCCUGCUGUCCAUCAGGCCCAGGACGCACUUUCAGAGAUCGGCCGCGGCGCACUCCAACCGCUCGGCGGGGCACAACGCCGCUCAGAUCACUCUCACGCACCCUCCGUUUCCCCGGGCCGCCGGGUCCGAGGUGUCAGCGACGGGGGUCAGCGGCGGCGGCGGCGGAGGCUGCGUCAUGAAGAUGGCGGUCUCUUCGCUGUUGGCGCCGCCGUGUGAGGACGCGGGGCUGACCGAGGAGCAACGCAUGGCCAAGAAGAGAGAGUACUGGAGGGUGAAGAAGAGGGAGCAGAGGGCGGCCCGGGCCACUAAGCUGAAGCACGGCUUAUUGCCGGCGUGGGACGCAGCCAUGCAAAGGAGGAAGACCCACAAGCAGACGCCCCUUCAGCGGUCGGCCAUGACGGCCAAUACCGCUACGCAAAUCAGGAAUUCUGCCAAACAGAAAAUGAACGUCCUCCCCUCCUGUAAUGUUAAUGUGCCUAAUCCUCAGCAGGCGAAGCAGAUCAAAGUGGAGAGGGAACCCGUACCGGCCUCUGACCUAAACAUUCGACCUGAACGAGCCAUCUGUCCAAUCAAACAGGCCCCCUCGCCGUCGCCUCCGCUGGCCUUGCCUCAGCCAGAGCCCGAUCCAACCCUGAGUGCCGAAACCCAGGCGACCACUCUUCUCGCCGUGGCCUCCAUGAAAAAGCUGCUGGAAGAAUCCCUCAGCACCGUGACUGAAUGUCAGCCCGCCGCCAUAAAAACAGAGCCGCCGCCUCCUUGUAAAGCCGAGAGAGAGGAGGACGUCUCAGACGAGCACUUGGUGCAGGAGAUGAAAUCGGAGAUCCCGGAGGCCUCCCUAGGAGGAGAAGAAGACGACGACAAGCUGCCGUUGGCUGCCAACCUGACGCUGCAGAUCAAAAGCUGGCAGGCGGACCCUGAUGACUCGGGGCAUGCCUGUCCGCGAGACCCUUACCCUUAUGCCUCAACCCAGACCGGCGAAUCCUCCACCCCGCUGUCCUCCACAACCCCGGACCCCCAGUGCCCCACUGCCUUAGGCGAGGGGGGUCCGACGCAGACGUUGUCUCCCCUACGUCGGGCCAAAAGGCUGUGCACCAAAAAGUCGGGCAAUCACCUUCAGCAUUGUUGCUCCUCAGAGCCGCCGAGGCUGCACCACUCCCCCGCCACGCCGCCGCCGCCGCCACAGAGGGUGCAACCGGCGGCGCCGCCUUCACGAUGCCUACUGCAGCCUCGGCCGUCCGCUCCGCAGCAACCGUUCAGGAGGCCGCUGUUCGUGGAGCCUGUGGGAGGGGAGGGCGGUAUGAGCUGUGGCAACAGCCUGCAGGAGAAGAGGGAGUACUGGAAGCUGAAGAAGAGACAGCAGAGAGCCCGCUCAAAAGCCAGGCAGAAGGGGGGGCCGGGUCACAGACAGAACAGCAGGCUCUCGUCCCAAAACAACGCACAGACUCUGAAUCCCCUCUCGGUCAACCACGCCCCGUCGGGGAAGAGCCCGACGAGUCCGCCGGCCAAACGCUGCCUGCAGCCCAAGGCCCCCACCGCCACUCUCACCGCGGUGCACAGCAUCCCCACGCUGCUGGUGGUCAGUCCCACCGCGUCCAACGACGGGCGCUCCCCCGACCUGCUCCAGGUCAAACCGCCGGUCUGCAGCUCCACCUCCUCGCCUGGCCGGGGCCGGCGCGAGGUCAACGCCCGGCCCUCCGGCACGUCCUGUGACCCCGACGCGUCGGAGUGCCACAAGGGCGCGACGGCGGACGGCGACGUCGACGUCCCCUCGUCCGACGGGGUGUCGGACGCCGAGCUGCGUCUGGCGGAGAAGCCGACGCCCGAGUCCAGAGUGAGGAGGUGGACCGUGCACGAGAAUAGCAACGCGGCGCCGGCUCUCGCUACUCUCACCCCCCCAGACAACCCGCUGUCCAGCAUCAACCUCUUCCCCAUCGAGCCCCUCGCUCCGACCUCGGGUCGCCACGCCUCUUACGGCAGCCCCGUGAGGCCCGCCCACACUCAGCCCCCCAAGCCCAAACCCGCGCAUGCCUCCCCGACCAAACUGGUGCCCUUAAGCACCCUGGCCCCCCCGAAACCCAUCCCGGGGGAGUCCCAGGAAGAGUUCCUGAGGCGGAAGAGGGAGUACUGGAGGGUCAAGAAGAAGGAGCAGAGAGCGAGGAAGGCCAUCCGGGACCGGGAGCUGUCCCAAAGGAGAGCGCCUGGCAACUGGAAGCCCAUUAGGCCCGCUAAGGACCAAGAGCGGCCCCAAUACACCGAGAACCAGGACCUGGGAGAUUGUGACCCUGCCUACGAGGACUCGGAACGUCUUAUGAGGCAAGCAGCACUGGAUGUUAUGGAUAAACCUCCCAAUGUCUGUGGAAGCGCCGCCUAA